GGAUGCGAUCAUACCAGUACUAAACCACC
Molecule: ribosomal RNA, 29 nt
Filed under: Hordeum vulgare
Lineage: Eukaryota; Viridiplantae; Streptophyta; Magnoliopsida; Poales; Poaceae
Source: RNAcentral